This is a long non-coding RNA of Dicentrarchus labrax (European seabass), 4566 nucleotides long. RefSeq lists it as uncharacterized. Lineage: Eukaryota; Metazoa; Chordata; Actinopteri; Moronidae. The transcript has 3 exons. The record is from RefSeq and is a predicted model, not a curated record.
UUUUCAAACCACACACAAACACAUGCAGGAGGAGUAAAGUGCAGUCAGCUGCUCCAGAGUUAAAAAUAAAAAUACGGCCUCUCUCUGCUCCAACAUUAAGAUGUAAUAUUAGGACAUGUUUCACUGAAGGCAGAGAGAGGGUGACAUACAGCGGGAUGCACUGGGUGGAAAAGGUCAGCGGAUCGGGAUUUAAACAUGUGACUUUUAUUGCGGGUCAAUUCCGUUUACAGCUCAAACACCAACAGCCUCAAACGGUAACUUCCUGGAGGUUGAAAGGUGUUUGAAAUGGAGGGGGGUGAAAUAAAAAGCAAUAAAAUAUUCAGGGAGCGGAAGAGAGCCAGGGUGAAUAAAUAACUUUUAAGUCCCCCUAACAAUUUACGACCUUUCUAACAAGUUUGUCCCAUCAGCGGCUCACAAACUCAGUUGUUGUUGGCAAAGCUGCUGAAAAAACUACCGCUCCCUGCUUCUGCUUCUACUACAUAUUGGAAUUAAACGUUUUUCUCUGAGAUGGAUUCAUUUUAACAAGUAUUAAGGACGCGGCGCUUCCUCUCCGCUUUGUGGGAACGGGAAGCAGCAGCAUUGUGUUGGAGCUGACUGUGGUUUAAUCAUUAAUGAGCACUAACAGUCGGGACAGGACAGGACAGGCAUGGCCUACAGCCUGGGACACACACACAGGACGGUGUGUGGCGGUCAGAGAGGAAGACUCGGCACCGGAAAGCGUUUGCUAAAUGAGAACCGGAGAGUGUGUACGGUUGGAGGCAGCAGUUUAUGUGAGGGAGUGGAGGACAGAAACAUGGAGAGAUAAUAGUAAGACAUACCUUAAAGGGAGACAGUCUGUCAGGCGGCCCUAACUGUCACUGUGUUGUUUGCCGUUCCCUCCUGUUAUGAGCAGAUUUGAACCCCCCUGCUUACCGUAGGCGUUUAUUACAAAACAGUAAAUGUCGCUGUAGCCUACUACAGUUGGUCCCUUUUUGGCCUUGUUUUAAGAGCAUUUAUUGUUACAUAGCUGCAGUCUGCCGCGUGAAAACACUGGGUUUUGUGACGCAAGAUGUUACCUUACAGGACUAAAGUCUUGGCCUUUUUGCUCACAGUAAUAUGAUGAACAUUUUUGGGGUGAAAAAUAAGAUAAUUAAAAUGACUAAAAUAUAUCAAUAAUGUCACUUUUACUGCUAUUAUGCUGCUAUAAAAAAAAAAAACUAGGCUACGAAAAACAACGAGCAUAGCCUACUACCACAGCCACCACCACCACUAAUAAUAAUAAUAAUAAUAAUAAUAAUAAUAAUAAUAAUGAGGUUUCUCCUGGCGGAUACAGGUUUUAAGCCCCUCUAUCCCCGCGCAGUAAAUCACCCCGGUGUAGCUGUGAUUGAGCCGCAGUGUAAACAGUUAAGAGCUGCUGAAGGAACUCCAGGAAUCUAAGAAACUUCAGAGAUUAUCGACAAUUAAAGCUGAAGGAGUCAGACUGCUGUUUUAUUGCUUUAUGGCUCUUUUUCCCCUGUGUGUGUGUGUGUGUGUGUGUGUGUGUGUGUGUGUGUGUGUGUGUGUGUGACACAGAGAGUGGGACCUCGGGACUUUUAUGGCUUUAUGACCGUUUAUGACUCCUUGUAAAGUCCGAGGAAUGGCGACGAACUGAAAAACAGGCCCGCAGCAAACAGCAGAUGAACAAAUGUGCUGUGCUGCACACAAGGAACGGCGUGCACACUCCCACACACACACACACACGGGCAUUGUACAGUUCAUCUGCGGUUCAUUUCAGCCCCGGCAAUGCUCAAAUCGCCUGCAUUUCACUCAGUAUUAUUAACAAGCAUUUUGAAAUAAUUAUAAUUAACGGUCUAUGAAAUUAAACCGUUGCUAUUUAUUUUAUUGACUUAGACGAUGGGGUUUUUUUUUUUUUUUUUUACCCCGAAUUUAAUUUCAAACAUUGCAGAGACAGAACUACACUGAUUUUUUAAUGACAGAGGAGGUAGGGUUGAUAUUGCAGCUUAAUUUCAAAACAACCAUAUAUCUAUAAUAUAGCUAGCUAAUAUCUUUUUUGUAAAUUGAAAAACUUACAUUUCCCACAUGUAUUAACUUUAAACACAAAUGUGUUUUGACUUACUUAAAAUUGGAAAAUCGUUCAAAACACACAGCAUUAGGUAAAAGAAAGACACAUUAAGAAGUCUUCUUAUCACCUUAUAAUUUUAAAAUAAUGAAUAUCUUCAAAGGCGGUAACUGUUACAUAGGCUGUGACUUAUAAAGAUUUUAGAAUAGGCUGUGACUUAUUUAAAUUAGAAAGUGGAUCCUCCGUUCGCUGAAUCAUGUCCGGAAAAGAGGAAAAGUUUUGUUUAACUACAGGAAUGUAAAGGUUUGUUCACGGGUUUAAAGCUCAAUACACUCAAUAGGAAGCAGAGUGUGUGUGUGUGUGUGUGUGUGUGUGUGUGUGUGUGUGUGUGUGUGUGUGUGUGUGUGUGCGCGCUGGCCGACCUCUCCUGCAGUAGUUAAUGAGAAACCGAGAGAAACUGCCUCACUAGUGCUUUUUUGUUUUAAUGUAUUAAUCGUUUCCAGGCAGCGCGAGCCGGCUGGCCGUGUCCUUCACGCAGCCGUGAGCUCGUGCUCUGGGUCAGUUCACCGGACCGUUACCGGUCGGCGCGAGCACCAGGCCACACAAGGGCCCCGGGACGAGUUAAAGAUUAACGAAUGCAGUCUCUGCUAAAUAAAGAAUACACCUGUCCAUCGGAAACAUACGGUAUAUAAUACAAUUAUAUAAUAAUCAUACAACAUGUUACAAAACAAAGUGUUAUUGCAGUUCAAAUAAAAACAGAAAAAUAUAUAUUCUACUAGUAUUUGUACUAUUGUGAAUUAAUAGCCUACUGUAUAUUUCUUACAACUAGUAGUACCCUUAUCUUAGUUUUAAGGUGUUUAAAGCUUAAUUAAACUUUCACUUAUUACCUCUGAGCUUGCAGCAUGCAGGGACGUGCAAUAGCACAUGUGGCUGCUUUGUAUGAACACGGUGCUGCACUGGAAUCGUUUAUACAGCUGAAUAAUAAUGUGGAAUUCCCCUCUGAUUCUACCGCCCUGAUAGUACACAGAAAAUCCAAUUGAGGUGUUUGGCUGUCGAGUAGAAAAGAGAUAGACGAGAGAAUGCAAAAUAUUGAUUUUCCAUCUGAUCUUAAUGCACUGAAGUUGAUUUUGAAUGCCGGAUUAAAGUCAGAUGAUGCUGGAGUCAUAAAUUAAACUCUGUACGUUACUGCCUCCCCGCGCCUUCCCUGCACAGGGCUCUUUCAAGUGAUCAUCACACACACACACACACACACACACACACACACACACACUCCUGGAUGCAUAUAUACGGGGGGUUGCACAGCAGAUCUGCAGAUGAGGAACCAGUAAAGAUGAUAAAAUCACAGAGCAAGGACGAGUUAUUAUGUUUACACCAACACCAACACCUACAAGCACACGCACGCGCACAAUGGAGCCUCUGUUUAUCGAAACAGCGACCCUGACCAAUCAGCACAAAUUUUACAUCCUAUAAAGUUCUGUUUCCUAGGGCCCAACGCGCGCGCGAACACACACACACACACACACACACACACACACACACACACACACACACACACACACACACACAGAACUUUGUGCGCUCGUGGAUUUCUCCACGCCUCACUCACCACAGCGUAACAGCAGCCAGGCCUAACCUGGGGGAGAGAGGGGAAGAAUUUAGCUCCUGCCUCUUUCUAUCCCUCCAUGCCACAAAUCUGUCUCUCUCUGCGUUUCCACCAAAGAAAGAAAGAAAGAAGCCAACAACCAGUAAGACAAAAGGCAAAUUGUACCCACACCAACAUGUGCGCGCACACACACGCGCUCCCUUGCCUCUUGCCAUGUCAGGUCUGGUUUCAAACAGGACAAAAAAGUAAAGUCGCGGCCACAUCAUCAGUUUGUCAACAGCUAAUACAAUGCAGACCACACACACACACACACACACACACACACACACACACACACACACACACACACACACACGUUGCCAACAGCACAUCACACCUUCGAUCGACGACAGAGACACAUUCAGCAUUGACGCCAGGAAGCAUAGCCUGCGAGCACGAGUCUUUGACGAGUACCCUGAAGGAUGAAGCGUGUGUGUUUGUGAGUGAAUGUUUGGUACUGUCACCAACGCGACGCUAGAUGGCACCAGAGCGUUUUGUAGGAGCGUGUCGGGGCUGCUGGGCGGCUCAGUGUGAGCACCGCCGCCGAACAGCAGCAUGGUCCAGCCUGGACAUCAGUGUGACCACCGCUCUCUGGCUGCGCUGUUCUUCAUGUCUGAGCCUGGUUUCCUCCACAAUACAAAGCCCAAAUCCUCCACAGUUUGUAUCAUAUUGUUACGGUAUUUACAUGUGAUAUUGUUUUAUUUUUUAGUGAAAUUUCUAUUUUAAUCGCCUCUAGGCUGUAUCUGGAAGGAAAUGCCUUGUUUAAAUAGACUGCAUGUGAUGCAACUUUGUAUUGCUCUAUACUAGGGUUAUGAAUGUACAUGCGUGUAUAUGAAUAACAUAGUUGUACAAAUGCAUAUUUAUAUAAAUAAACUUAAAAACUUGA